AAACCAACAGGGAUUGCCCCAGUAACGGCGAGUGAAGCGGCAACAGCUCAAAUUUGAAAUCUGGUCCCCAGGGCCCGAGUUGUAAUUUGUAGAGGAUGCUUUUGGCGAGGCGCCUUCCGAGUUCCCUGGAACGGGACGCCACAGAGGGUGAGAGCCCCGUCUGGUCGGAUGCCAAGCCUAUGUAAAGCUCCUUCGACGAGUCGAGUAGUUUGGGAAUGCUGCUCAAAAUGGGAGGUAUAUGUCUUCUAAAGCUAAAUACCGGCCAGAGACCGAUAGCGCACAAGUAGAGUGAUCGAAAGAUGAAAAGCACUUUGAAAAGAGGGUUAAAAAGUACGUGAAAUUGUUGAAAGGGAAGCGCCUAUGACCAGACUUGGGCCCGGUGAAUCAUCCAGCGUUCUCGCUGGUGCACUUUGCCGGGCACAGGCCAGCAUCAGUUUGGCGCGGGGGACAAAGGCUUCGGGAAUGUGGCUCCCCUCGGGGAGUGUUAUAGCCCGUUGCGCAAUACCCUGCGCCGGACUGAGGUACGCGCUCCGCAAGGAUGCUGGCGUAAUGGUCAUCAGCGAC
This 564-nucleotide ribosomal RNA is filed under the name Parengyodontium album. Its description in RNAcentral is "eukaryotic LSU rRNA". It matches the Rfam family "Eukaryotic large subunit ribosomal RNA", at positions 62 to 648 of the family's 3401-position model. The record is from RNAcentral. Lineage: Eukaryota; Fungi; Ascomycota; Sordariomycetes; Hypocreales; Cordycipitaceae.